UUAAAUUUUUUUUUUUUUUUUUUUUUUUUGUGGUUGGUGGGGGGGGGAUGGGAUGGGAGAAAAUAGGCAAUCAUACUUGUUUUGCCCUUCUCAUUUUUGUUUUUAAUUUUAAAAAAAGAAUUAAUUUUUUUUUUUUUUUUUUUUUUGUGGUUGGUGGGGUGGGGAUGGGAUGGGAGAAGAUAUUUUUAAAUAUAGAAUUUAAAAAUGGGAUUUUGAACAAGGAAAAAAACACUUUUUCUUUUAAUAAGGAUUACUAAAUUCGAAGAAAGUUGCUUCAAUAUUUUCAUUUUAAAGCAACUAAACAGUAGAAAAUUCAUGAAAAAUUGAAUUUUUGAAAAACAAAUUUUAGCUAUCUUAUCGCAAAAAGCUUGAAUCAUACAAUUUGAGAUUUGAUCAUAAACACAUAUAUUUAGUAAAAUCAUUGAAAUCUUAUUUUUUUAAUCAUUACAGACUUUCUAGAUGGACUCAACCCCUAUGUCGAGUUCCACUAAGAUGAAUGUAUGUAAUACAAAUAGAGCAUAACUUAUAAGGGAUUCCGCAUGUAUUGAGUUAGAUUAUCAGUGGUCUGAACCAAUCCAAUUUGAUAGUGUCACAUCAAGUUAUAACUGAUUAUCCAAACUAAUUGAACUCCCAAUUUUUUUUUGAAAAGUCGAUUUGCAAUUUUUUCGAUCACUACCCAACAUUCGAUCAAUCGAUCAUAUUUUCAAAAUUUUGCCUUUAUUUUCCUUUUUUUUUUAAAUUUAAAAACUACCCUCCCUUUAUUUUCCUUUUUUUUUUUUUAAUUUAAAAACUACCCCCCCUCCCCACUACAUUCCUAAUCACCCAAUUACUUUUUAGAUAUCUACAAAUAACCUCUCUUUCUUCAUUUCUUUUCAUUUUUGUCUUAGAUUGCUAUCGAUCGUUAACUCUAUUAAUUUUUAGUUUUAUUAUGUUAAACUUUCAACAUUACAUGGAUAAACCUACUCUUCAUGGAAGGUGAGCAAAAACAAGUCUCAUGUGACGAUAUUGUAAGCUAUUAAAUGAAGAUGUAAUUCAAUAUCUAUUUUAUGAUGAACCGUAUAAGUAAAAAUUUACAUUGUUUUUUUUGCAUAGGCACUAGAGUGGAAAUAGCCACUCAAAUUCAGAUGCAGAUCUUUCUCAAAAUUUGAAUUUGAAUUUGAAUUUUCUCUUGUUUAGUUGCUAUAAAAAGGAAACUUUAGAUUUACAAGUUCUUAAAAACUAAAACUUGCAAAAUUGAUUGUAUUGAAUAUCUUGACGUUUAAGUAUUUAAAAUAGUUUUUUAAUUUCUCUGUACGUGCAUUGCACAUGUAUAGCUAAUAAUAUAAUACACAUUUUUAUAAAUAAUAUUAAUAUUAUUAAAUAAGGUACUAUUGAGCAAAUAUAUUUACAUCCAUAAGGAAAUAGAGUAUAGGUUUUAGUGUAUGAUCAAUGUGAAUUGCCAAAUGAUUACUUGUUUGUUGAGGUCAAAAUAAUUGAAUUUCAUUUGAACCUACGAGGAUGAAUAUGUUACACCAACAACCUCAAUAAAAUAAAGUUCUUAUUCCAGUUUGAUUAAGUUUACAGAGAGUACCCAAAAAUUCAUGGACUCCUAAAUGUGGAUAGUUUGGAGUUUUGGGGGUCUGAGUAUGGUUUUAGUGUUUCGAAAAAAUAACACAAAGUCUAUUUUUUAUUAAACAAUUACUCCUACUUACUUAUUGAUAUAAUAUAAUAAAUCGUAACAAACAGAGAUGGCCACAUUACUACUAUCACGAAAUUGUUUUGGCUUAAAGAAUUACAAAAUCAUAUUACAUGACAGCUUUUUGAGCCAAACAAAAGUAAUUCUUUCUUUGUCUUCUUUUGAAAUUCUUAACACAAAUAUGUGGGGUCUCUUUAUCUGCUUUUGGAGUUUUUAGCAUAAAUAACAUGGAGUUUCUGUUUGCUUUCAAAGUUUUUAACACAAAUAACGUGUCUUUUUAACUUGCUUUCGGAGUUUAAAUACAAAUAACAUAGAUUUUUUAUGUCUGCUUCUGAAGUUUCGAACACUAAUAAUUUGGGGUUUCUUUGUGUGCUUUCAAAUUUUUUAAGACAAAUAAUGUGGGGUCUUUGUUUGCUUAUGAAGUUUUAACACAAAUAACAUGAUUUUUUACUUGCUUGCUUUCAGAGUUUCUAACACAAAUAAUGUGGAUUCUCUUUAUCUGCUUUUGGAGCCUUUAAUAUAUGUGGGGUCUCUUUAUCUACUUUUGGAGUUUUUAACAAAAAAACACGGGGUCUAUUCAAUUCGGAAAAAAGUUGAUCUUCGUUUAGCUUUUGGUUUGAAAUUUUAAUUUUCUACUGUUUAGUUGCUUUAAAAUGAAAACAUUAAGAUUUGCAAGUUUUCAAAAAAUAGAAUUUGCAAAAUUAAUUGUAUUGAAUAUCAUGACGUUUAAGCAUUUAAUAUAAUACUAAUUUUUUGCACGUGAGUUGAACGGCUAUGACUAAUAAUGUAAUACACAAUAUUAUAAAAAUAAAAUACUUUUGAGUAAAUGAUUUUAUAUAUAUGAAGAAAUAAAGUAUAAGUUUUAGUAAAUGAUCAUUGUGGAUAUUGUCGUAUUGUUACUUGUUUGUUAAGGUCAAAAUGAUUGAAUUUUAUCCGAACCUACAAGGAUGAAUGUGUUACACUUACACCAUUUGUAAAAUGAAUUUUUUUUCCAAUUUGAUUCAGUUUACUAAAAGUACACAAAAAUUUCUGAACUGUCAAAAGUGGAUAGGUUGGGGUUUUGGGAGUGGGGGAGGGGGUUCUAGUGUUUUCAAAAAAAUAACUCAAUUUUUUAAAUUAAAAAACUAUUCCUACUUACUUCUUCAUAUAAUAUUAAGCAUCGUUACAAAUAGAAGUGACCACAUUAAUACUAGCACGAGAUUGUUCUGGCUUAAGAAAUUACAGAAUCAAAUAACAUGAUGACUUUUUAAGCCAAGCAAAAGUAAUUCUUUCUUUGUCUACUUUUGAAUUUUUAUCACAAAUAAUGUGGGAUCUCUAUGUUUGCUUCCGUAUUUUUUAGCACAAAUGAUGUGACUUUUUGCUUGCUUGCUUUUGACGUUUUUAACACAAAUAACAUAUCUUCUCUUAGUUUGCUUCUAGAGUUUCUAAUCUGCAUAAUGUGGGGUCUUUUUAUUCUUAAUACAAAUAUUAAGGGGUCUCUGUUCUGCUUAUGAAGGUUUUAACAUAAAUAAUGAGGCUUUUGGAGUUUCUAACACUAAUAAUGUUGGGUCUCUUUAUAUGCUUCUGGAGUUUUUAACACAAAAACGAGGGGUUCUAUUCAAUUUAAAAAAAAGAUGACCUUCAUUUAGCUUCAAGCUAGAAGUUUGUAUUUUCUCUCAUUUAGUUGAUGUAAAAUGAAAAUAUUAGAUUUACAAAUAUUUUUAGAAAUAUAACUUGUAAAAUUAAUUGUAUAAAAUAUAUAUUUUGAUGUUUAAGCAUUUGAUAUAUUACUAGUUUUCAGCAUAUGCAUUGCACAUAUAUGCAUAAUAAUACAAUACACAUUUUAUAACUAAUAUCAAUAUUAUUAAAUAAAGUACUUUUGAGUAAAUAAUUUUACAUAUAUGAAAAAUAAAGUAUAAGUUUUAGAUAAUGACCAAUGUGGAUUAUUGUACGAUUAUUUUUUUGUUGAGGUGAAAAUGAUUUAAUUCCUCUAAAACUACAAUGAUGAGUGAGUUGCACUUUAAAUAUAGUACAAUAAAAUCCCCUAAAUGCUAAAAGUGGAUAGUUUGGAUUUUUAGGGGUGGUGAUGGAGUUUUAGUGUUUUCGUAAAGUAACUCAAUGUAUUUUUUGGUUAAACAACUAUACUUAUUUAUUACUUUAUAUAAUAUUAAGCAUCGUUACAAAUAGAAGUUGUCACAUUAAUACUCGCACUAGAUUAUUCUAGCUUAAAGAAUUACAAAAUCAAAUUACAUAACAACUUUUUAAGACAAAUAAAAGUAAUUCUUUCUAUGUUUACUUUUGAAAAUUUUAACACAAAUAACGUGGUCUCUUUGCCUGCUUUCAGAGUUUUUAGCUCAAAUAAUGUGAUUUUUUUCUGCUUUCGAAGUGUUUAAUACAAAUAACAUUGUUGUUUACUUGCUUUCAGAGCUUUUAACACAAAUAAUGUGGAUUCUCUUUGUAUUCUUUCAAAAUUUCUAACACUAAUUACACAGGGUGGGAUCUCUUUGUCUGCUUCUGAAAUUUUUAACACAAACAAUAAUGGGUCUCUCUCUGCUCCAGAUAUUUUUAACACAAAUAAUGUGGUUAUUUGCUUGCUUUUAGAGUUUUUAAUAAAAAUGAUACGUGUUUUUUUUGUUUGCUUUCAGACUUUUAACAAUGCAAACGCGGAAUCUUUUUGUCUGCUUCUGAAAUUUUUAACAAAAAAAUUGUUGGGUUUGUCCAAUUCGUAAAAUGAUGAUCUUAAUUUAAAUUCUGAAAUAAAACUUUUGUUUUUGAAUAAUAAAUAUCAAAUCCGAAAAUAGCUACCUAAAUAUUUCAUCAAAGUAAAAAAUCAAAUGUGCGUGAUUUUUUAAGUUUUUUACUUUUAGAAAAUAAAAUAAGCAACCACACUUGUUUUGCUCCUCUUUUUUAGUUUUUUUAUUUAAAUAGCCGAAUUAAAAAUCCUCUCUCUUUUUUGUUGUGGUUGGCUAGAGUGGGUGAUAACUUUUUAAUAAAAAAAAAUUAAAAAUGAGAUCUUUAAAUAAGGACACAUCUUUUAUUAAACAGGAAACUUUCACAAAUAGCCAUUAUAAUAAAUUUAAUUAUGCUUCAUAGCUAUAGUUUGCAUAUUUAUGGAUUGUAGCUACAGUUUUAGCUGCCUCGUUUGUAGAAUUCGCGGGUAUAUUUGUAUAAUUCAGUUAUUUUUGUAUAAACUCGAAAUAACGAAUUUAUACAAUUACAAACAUCUGAAGUGUAAACAGUUAUACAAAUUACAUUAUACAAAUUAUAUUAUACAAAUGUGCGAAUUAUACAAAUGUGUGAAUUAUACAAAACUAAAAAGCUGAGCCGCGUAAUUAUAGCUAAAAGUAGGUCACAAAUUGUAAUUAAGACAAACUAUAGCUAUGUUAAGUAAUUAACUAGUAUAUGUUUGCUUAUACGCGUAAUUUUCCCUUAAACAUACGUAUACAAGGAACGUGCAAAAAGUUAGUAAUAUAUAAAACGGAAAAUUACGCGUAUAAGCAAACAUAUACUAGUUAAUUACUUAACAUAUAUAUAGUUUGCCUUAAUUAUAAUUCGUGACCUACUUUUAGCUAUAAUUACGCGGCUCAACUUUUUAGUUUUGUAUAAUUUGCACGUUUAUGUAAUUCAGAAUAUGUAUAAUAUAAUUUGUAUAAUAUAAUUUGUAUAAUUGUUCACACUUCUGAUGUUUGUAAUUGUAUAAAUUUGUUAUUUUGAGUUUAUACAAAAAUAAUUGAAUUAUACAAAUGUACCUCGCGAAUUCUACAAACGAGGUAACUUAAAUUGUAGCUACAACCCGUAAAUAUGCAAACAAUAGCUAUGGAGCAUAAUUAAGUUUAUUAUAAUAGCUAUUUGCAAAAGUUCCCCUUAUUAUUAUUAUUAUAUAAGAGAGAACUUUAUAAACCUUCUCUCUCUCCGAUUAUGCUCUAUAUAUAUUCUAUUUGUAUCAAAAUACUUGUCAUGCUUUGUUUUUCUAAAGCCAACUUAACAAAUCUUUCGAAGCUAAAUUUGAUUAGAUGAUUAAUUCAAUAUUUUCAAAUCAAAAUUAAAUUAUGGUAUUUGAAAACUAUACAAAGUGUUAUAAGUUACCGUUUUUCUUAGGUUAGAUCAUAUGUUUAAUUAUGUAAUACACAUUUUAUCAUUAAUAUCAAUAUUAUCAAAUGUAGUACUUUUGAGUAAAUAAUUUUACAUAUAUGAAGAAGUAAAGUUUAAGUAUGUGAAUGAUCAAUGUGGAUUUCCAUAUGGUUACUUGUUUGUUGAGGUCAAAACUCAAAAAUGAUUGAAUUUCGUCUGAACCUACGAGGAUGAAAAAGUUACAUUUAGACCCUUAAUAAAACAAAGAGUACGCAAAAAUUCUUGAAUUGUCAAAAGCAGAUAGUUUGGGGUUUCGGGAGUGGUGGUGGGGUUCUAGUGUUUUUAGAAAGUAACUCAAAAGUUUUUUUUUGGUUAAUCAACUACUCCUUAUUUCUUUAAAUAACUUAUCAUGCAACGUUACAAAUAGAGGUGGCCACAUAAAUACUAGCACGGGAUUGUUCUAGGUUAAAAAUUACAAAAUCAAAUUACAUAACGGGUUUUUAACACUAGUAAAAGUAAUUCUGUCUUUGUUUGGUUUUAAAAUAUAUAGCACAAAUAAUGUGAAGUUUCAUUGUGUACUUCCGGAGCCUUUAGCACAAAUUAUGUGGGUUUUCUGUCUGCUUCCAAAGUUUUUAACACAAAUAACAUGGCUCGGGUUCUCUUUUUCAACGCCUGGAGUUUCUAACAUGGCCCGACCACAAGGGCCUGCUAUACGCAGCCUUACCUUGCAUUUUUAAGUGCUACUAUUGAAUUAUAAAGAAAAUGCCAAAGAUCUACCUACCCUUUACUGCACCUCAGAACAUAAAUUGAUGAGAAAAUGUCGAAAUGUUACUCAGAAGAUAAAUUCAAUAGUAGCACCUAAAAAUGCAAGGUAAGACUACGUACAAUAGGCCCUUGUGGUCGGGUCCUUCCUCGGACACUGCACAUAGUGAGAGCUUUAGUGCACCGGGUUGCCCCUUGUUGUAAGAUGACAGAUGAUCAAUCUAGUCUAAUAGUAUCCUUUUAUCCUGAUCACUUAAUCAAAAGCUAGUGCAAUAUCUAUAAGCUCUGCAUAACAAUUAACCUUACUACCAGCCUUUCAAGUAACUACACAACAUAGCUAAUGGCAGAACAGCAGCAAGCAUCAGUUACUGGCUGACAAAAUAUCUUUGUUGAAAUAACCAAAUAAACUUUUCCACUUAACAGAAGGUAUUCAUUCCAGGGCCAUCUGAUGCUACAGGCAGUAAACUGUAUCCUAAGUAUUAGAGGCAGAAAACUAUUGGACCAUAAUUCUCAUAAACGCGUUAAUUGUUUAAACAUACAGUUGGUUAUUGGAUGUUCAAAAGGACUGUUUUUCUCUCUUCUUUACUGCCAAUCAGCCUCUCAAGUAACUCCGGGAGAAGGAUACACCUCUUCCCGUUUCUCAUUGUUGCAAAGCACCUCUGACUAUAUGGUGUACUUUCUUGACAAAUCAAAUGACAUUAUUCUGGGUUCAAGAUAUGAAGCUAUUUUGGACGUUAAAGAAAUCAUGUCAGAAAUGUCUACUACCAAAAGCUGAAAACAAGAAGGAAGUAGCACAAUAUAAUUAGUAUGACGUCUUAGAGGUUUGAAAGAAUACGAGCAACUUGAAAGCAAAGCACAUGGGGAUUUGAAAUCGCUACAUGUCCAUGUCAUCAUGGGAACAUAAUCGCUACAUCUAUAGGCUUAAGGCUCAUAAUUUUUCACAACAGAAAAGAAGUUCAUGUAUGAUCAGAAGCAACAACAGCUAAAGGGUUGAUAAGAGCAAACAAAAUAGAUCUUUAUGCAAUACAAGUCAAACAUAAAUGUAUAUAAAUCAUGGGACUUGCAAUUGGUAAAUCAUUGUAGACAUGGUUAUCACUGGCAUUAUGACAUCCAUCCAUCAAGAAACAGUUUUUCCACUCAUUUUGAUUGCUAAAACAACAUAGUACCUGCCACAGAUGUCUUAGGCACAAUGUCCACAUCAUUGUUGCUCUGUAGCAUAACAUACAAAGACCUAGUAACAGAAACAAACAUAGCCAUCUAUGACCACUCAAAUGGAAAACACACAAACACAACAUUAAUAUGCUAAGUUGCUAACUUGCCGUAAUAUUCACAAUGCCGUUCAUAGACUUAAGUCAGUUACUUAACCUGAUUUAGUUGUGUCAUUUUUUUUAGUUUUUGGGGGGUGGGGGAUAUGGCUUACAAGGUCAAUAUAUCCUCACCACUCAAUUCUACAGUAAUGUGGAGGCAUCCACAUGCAAUACUACAACAACAACAUACCCAACGCAAUCCCAUAAGUGGAGUCUGGAGAGGGUGGUGUGUACACAGCCUUACCCUAUGGAUGAAAGGUAGAACAUACUGCUUCAAAAAUAAGAAGUCCAAUAAGACUAAUUGUGACCUAAAAAUUCCACAAAUUCUAGCAUGCAUUAUGUCCCUUUGACAGCAAGAUAUCCAAAUAAACUCAGAUCAAAAUUGAUGGGAACAUGAUCACCAAUGUUUCAGAGAGAUAGACUCAAGUAUAAGCCACUAGAUAAACCACAAAAACCAGAAAGCAGUAACGAUAAAAUGAGGCAUACAUCAGACAUGAAGCUACUGGAAUUGAUAAAGUUCUUGUUUUGAAGUAAGAAAAUUCAAAAUGCCGUCGAUCAAAAGUAUCUCGGUGCUAAAUGAACCAUCCUCCU
This 8385-nucleotide long non-coding RNA is filed under the name Solanum tuberosum (potato). RNAcentral describes it as "long non-coding RNA (STUB_LNC002116)". The record is from RNAcentral. Lineage: Eukaryota; Viridiplantae; Streptophyta; Magnoliopsida; Solanales; Solanaceae.